Molecule: ribosomal RNA, 275 nt
Filed under: uncultured prokaryote
Description: partial 16S ribosomal RNA
Rfam family: Bacterial small subunit ribosomal RNA
Source: RNAcentral
UACGUAGGUGGCAAGCGUUAUCCGGAUUUACUGGGUGUAAAGGGCGUGUAGGCGGUUUUGCAAGUCAGAUGUGAAAUCUCCGGGCUUAACCCGGAAACUGCAUCUGAAACUGCAGAACUUGAGUACUGGAGAGGAUAGUGGAAUUCCUAGUGUAGCGGUAAAAUGCGUAGAUAUUAGGAGGAACACCAGUGGCGAAGACGACUAUCUGGACAGUAACUGACGCUGAGGCGCGAAAGCGUGGGGAGCAAACAGGAUUAGAUACCCGGGUAGUCCCU